This 529-nucleotide ribosomal RNA is filed under the name uncultured bacterium. RNAcentral's name for it is "bacterial SSU rRNA". It matches the Rfam family "Bacterial small subunit ribosomal RNA", at positions 777 to 1304 of the family's 1533-position model. The record is from RNAcentral.
AAUAGAUACCCGGGUAGUCCACGCCGUAAACGAUGAGUGCUAGGUGUUGGGGGGUUCCACCCUCAGUGCUGAAGUUAACACAUUAAGCACUCCGCCUGGGGAGUACGACCGCAAGGUUGAAACUCAAAGGAAUUGACGGGGGGCCCGCACAAGCAGUGGAGCAUGUGGUUUAAUUCGAAGCAACGCGAAGAACCUUACCAGGUCUUGACAUCCUUUGACCACUCUAGAGAUAGAGCUUUCCCCUUCGGGGGACAAAGUGACAGGUGGUGCAUGGUUGUCGUCAGCUCGUGUCGUGAGAUGUUGGGUUAAGUCCCGCAACGAGCGCAACCCUUGACCUUAGUUGCCAGCAUUCAGUUGGGCACUCUAAGGUGACUGCCGGUGACAAACCGGAGGAAGGUGGGGAUGACGUCAAAUCAUCAUGCCCCUUAUGACCUGGGCUACACACGUGCUACAAUGGAUGAUACAAAGGGUUGCGAAGCCGCGAGGCCAAGGCCAAUCCCAAAAAGUCAUUCUCAGUUCGGAUUGUAGG